AAUUUAUGUUCAUAGACUGUAAGCAUGAGACAUCACUACAGUCCAUAAUGAGGCCAUUAGCAUUCUGCUCAUGCAAGCCAGUGUGAGUAUAAUUUUCGGUGGCCUAAUGUAACAGGUAAUCAUAAAUUAGUAUUUGCUUUAAAACAACACCAGAUUACACAGCCUGCAUGCUUAAGGAGAAUGACUCAGUAAGUAGUGCAGCUCUGUAAUGAAGUGGGAGCUCAUUAAACAGAUGCUAUCUACUUCAGCGAUCUGCAUAAGCAGCAAACAAACCAAAUGGAAAUGUUUCAACAGAACACUGCAGUCGACCAGGACAAGUUUGGGUUCAUUUGCUGCAGCACCAUCUACAGGAAUUAGUCACAGAGAAAAGACAAGAAGCUACCUUUCAAGAACAAGAGCUUCAGGAUCUGGUCUCAAGUCACCAUUUAACAAGCCUCGAAGGAUCAAGACCAAAAGUCUCCAACUUGCUAUAGCAUGUGAGAAAAAGCUGUCUGUGUUGCAAUACUCAACGCCUCUACAGUUCAGAAACAUACGCAAAGCCACGAUGAACCUCCUGAGCACUGGGACAAUGCAAUGGCAUCAGAUAAGACAAGAGUCUCCAGGAGAAACUGAAAAGAUAACCAUACUUCAAAUGUGCUUUCCUAUGUGUUGGGGACAGAAGGUCUCUCAUCCGUGA
This 676-nucleotide long non-coding RNA is filed under the name Struthio camelus australis. RNAcentral describes it as "lncRNA (ENSSCUG00000017053.1)". Lineage: Eukaryota; Metazoa; Chordata; Aves; Struthioniformes; Struthionidae. The record is from RNAcentral.